GACGAACGCUGGCGGCGUGCUUAACACAUGCAAGUCGAGCGGUAAGGCCUCUUCGGGGGUACACGAGCGGCGAACGGGUGAGUAACACGUGGGUGACCUGCCCUCAGCUCUGGGAUAAGCCUGGGAAACUGGGUCUAAUACCGGAUAUGACCUUGCCUCGCAUGGGGUGGGGUGGAAAGCCUGGUCUUAAUUGAUUCGGCGGCUGGGGAUGGGGCCCGCGGCCUAUCAGCUUGNGGUGGGGUGAUGGCCUACCAAGGCGACGACGGGUAGCCGGCCUGAGAGGGCGACCGGCCACACUGGGACUGAGACACGGCCCAGACUCCUACGGGAGGCAGCAGUGGGGAAUAUUGCGCAAUGGGCGGAAGCCUGACGCAGCGACGCCGC
RNAcentral lists this ribosomal RNA (384 nucleotides) under uncultured bacterium. RNAcentral's name for it is "bacterial SSU rRNA". It matches the Rfam family "Bacterial small subunit ribosomal RNA", at positions 28 to 400 of the family's 1533-position model. The record is from RNAcentral.